This 564-nucleotide ribosomal RNA is filed under the name uncultured bacterium. Its description in RNAcentral is "bacterial SSU rRNA". It matches the Rfam family "Bacterial small subunit ribosomal RNA", at positions 338 to 916 of the family's 1533-position model. The record is from RNAcentral.
CCUACGGGAGGCAGCAGUGGGGAAUAUUGGACAAUGGGGGCAACCCUGAUCCAGCAAUGCCGCGUGCGUGAUGAAGGCCUCUGGGCUGUAAACCUCUUUUAUCAAGGAAGAAGAUCUGACGGUACUUGAUGAAUAAGCCACGGCUAAUUCCGUGCCAGCAGCCGCGGUAAUACGGGAGUGGCAAGCGUUAUCCGGAAUUAUUGGGCGUAAAGCGUCCGCAGGCGGCCUUUUAAGUCUGUUGUUAAAGCGUGGAGCUUAACUCCAUUUGAGCAAUGGAAACUGGAAGGCUUGAGUGUGGUAGGGGCAGAGGGAAUUCCCGGUGUAGCGGUGAAAUGCGUAGAUAUCGGGAAGAACACCAGUGGCGAAGGCGCUCUGCUGGGCCAUAACUGACGCUCAUGGACGAAAGCCAGGGGAGCGAAAGGGAUUAGAUACCCCUGUAGUCCUGGCCGUAAACGAUGAACACUAGGUGUCGGGGGAAUCGACCCCCUCGGUGUCGUAGCCAGCGCGUUAAGUGUUCCGCCUGGGGAGUACGCACGCAAGUGUGAAACUCAAAGGAAUUGACGG